AUGAAAUUCUGGUCAAUCAGUCUCCGCCAUCAUGUAACCCACCUGGUCGAGCCCCCACCCUGGCGGUUGCAUGCAGAGGAGGAGAGGUCGAGGAUGGCUCCCAUAGCAUGUCACAGGGUUAGCGAGGAGGAGGUUGUCCUCAAAGAGGUAGUGUCGUGUCUUGGCGGCCACCUCUCCUCAUCUCCUCCUAACAAGUGCAGGCUCGAUGGUUCAUGGCGUCCUCGCCGUCAUGGUUUGGCUACUGCUUGGCCUGACUCUACUUGUGCUGCUACUAUGUGCUACUAUAUGUUGUUGGUUGCCUCCUUAGUUGGUUAUUUGUGA
RNAcentral lists this ribosomal RNA (321 nucleotides) under Triticum aestivum (bread wheat). RNAcentral describes it as "partial small subunit ribosomal RNA". The record is from RNAcentral. Lineage: Eukaryota; Viridiplantae; Streptophyta; Magnoliopsida; Poales; Poaceae.